CCCUUAGAUGUUCUGGGCCGCACGCGCGCUACACUGACUACUUCAACGAGUUGUUUCCUUGAUCGAAAGGUCUGGGUAAUCUUUGAAAGGUAGUCGUGAUGGGGAUAGAUCCUUGCAAUUUUUGAUCUUCAACGAGGAAUUCCUAGUAAACGCAAGUCAUCAGCUUGCAUUGAUUACGUCCCUGCCCUUUGUACACACCGCCCGUCGCACCUACCGAUUGAAUGGUCCGGUGAAUCUUUAGGACUGUGGCUGAGGCCUUGCCUUGUGCGGGUCUGGCCGUUGGAAUUUAGUUAAACCUUACCAUUUAGAGGAAGGUGAAGUCGUAACA
Molecule: ribosomal RNA, 328 nt
Filed under: uncultured eukaryote
Lineage: Eukaryota
Description: partial 18S ribosomal RNA
Rfam family: Eukaryotic small subunit ribosomal RNA
Source: RNAcentral